RNAcentral lists this microRNA precursor (76 nucleotides) under Myotis lucifugus (little brown bat). RNAcentral's name for it is "mir-9229 microRNA precursor family". It matches the Rfam family "mir-9229 microRNA precursor family". Lineage: Eukaryota; Metazoa; Chordata; Mammalia; Chiroptera; Vespertilionidae. The record is from Rfam by way of RNAcentral.
GCCACACCCUUCUGGGGCAAGACUUGCUUCAGUGGGGCUUUGGUGCUCACUGAGUCUGCCCCCUGAAUGUGUCCCU